Molecule: ribosomal RNA, 406 nt
Filed under: uncultured bacterium
Lineage: Bacteria
Description: partial 16S ribosomal RNA
Rfam family: Bacterial small subunit ribosomal RNA
Source: RNAcentral
GAUGAACGCUGACAGCAUGCUUAACACAUCAGCAAUUGAUUGGUGGCGGACGGGUGAGUAACGCGUAAAGCACUUACCUCACAGUUAGGGACAACAUUUGGAAACGAAUGAUAAUACCUAAUACUGUGAGAGAGCUUUGCGUCCCAUUAGCUAGUGGGAGAGGUAACGGCUCACCAAGGCGAUGAUGGUUAGCCGGCCUGAGAGGAUAAUCGGCCACAAGGGGACAGGGAGACGGCCAUUACUCCUACGUGAGGAAGCAGUGGGGAAUAAUGGAGCAUGGACAAAAGUCUGAUCAAGCAAUUCUGUGGGAAAGAUGAAGGUUUCGGAAGGAAGAGUGCGUUAAGUGGGGAAGCGGUACCAACAGAAGAAGUGACGGCUAAAUACGUGCCAGCAGCCGCGGUAAUUC